RNAcentral lists this ribosomal RNA (479 nucleotides) under uncultured bacterium. RNAcentral's name for it is "bacterial SSU rRNA". It matches the Rfam family "Bacterial small subunit ribosomal RNA", at positions 28 to 507 of the family's 1533-position model. The record is from RNAcentral.
GAUGAACGCUGGCGGCGUGCUUAACACAUGCAAGUCGAACGUGAGAAUAGCAAUAUUUGAAAGUGGCAAACGGGUGAGUAACACGUGGGAACCUGCCUCGAAGUGGGGGAUAACGAUUGGAAACGGUCGCUAAUACCGCACGGUUCUGCUCUGAUGGGAAUGGAGCAGAUAAAGAUUUAUCGCUUUGAGAGGGGCCCGCGGCCGAUUAGCUAGUUGGUAAGGUAAAGGCUUACCAAGGCGAUUAUCGGUAGCUGGUCUGAGAGGACGAUCAGCCACACGGGAACUGAGACACGGUCCCGACUCCUACGGGGGGCAGCAGUGAGGAAUAUUGGGCAAUGGGCGAAAGCCUGACCCAGCAACGCCGCGUGGAGGAUGACGGUUUUCGGAUUGUAAACUCCUGUUAAGCGGGAAGAAAGCCUUGUUUCUAAUACAAGCAAGGUAUGACGGUACCGCUAGAGAAAGCACCGGCUAACUUCGUG